GUUUAGGCUUACAUACAUAAGUAUUCCCCGAUCGAUGGCUCGCAGGCAGGGCCGGUUUUAUUUUUUUACACAUUUUUAACAUUGUUAGUGUUUUCUUCACGGCAGUUGUUAGCUGUGUGUCCAGAUCUCAACCUGGAGAAGUGGAUUGCACUUUGUCAGGCCUCUACACUAAGACCUGUCCAGCUUGGGUGUCCCACCUGAAGAUUAAAGCUUCUGCUGGUAUAGCUCUUAGGGUCACUGAGAGGGUCGCGGAGUCCUGACAGCAGGCUGUGUGAGGACACACACUGCACCGACAUGAGAGAAGAGAGGGGGCUGAUUAACGUGUGUUUCUAUCAGCGGAUUUUUCACUUCUAAAUGUUUGAUUCGAGGGGGCAGGACAUCUGUUUGAGGGGGCGUUGCCCCCUCUUGCCCCUGCGUAGAGCCGGCCCCGCUCGCAGAUGCGCUUUCUAGACAGGCGGAGGCCCGUUGGUGUAGCUCAGCAUGGGGUAGAAGGAGUGGGCCAAGUUGUUGGACUGGGCGCAGUAGUCGGCCUCGGACAAGGGCAGCAGGAAGGCCACCAGCACCAGCACCAGCAG
Long non-coding RNA from Syngnathus typhle (broad-nosed pipefish), 575 nucleotides. RefSeq lists it as uncharacterized. The transcript is spliced from 3 exons. NCBI's taxonomy places the organism in Eukaryota, Metazoa, Chordata, Actinopteri, Syngnathiformes, Syngnathidae. The record is from RefSeq and is a predicted model, not a curated record.